GACGAACGCUGGCGGCGCGCCUAGUACAUGCAAGUAGAACGCACAGUUUAUACCGUAGCUUGCUACACCAUAGACUGUGAGUUGCGAACGGGUGAGUAACGCGUAGGUAACCUGCCUGGUAGCGGGGGAUAACUAUUGGAAACGAUAGCUAAUACCGCAUAAUAUUGAUUAUUGCAUGAUAAUUGAUUGAAAGAUGCUAUUGCAUCACUACCAGAUGGACCUGCGUUGUAUUAGCUAGUAGGUGAGGUAACGGCUCACCUAGGCGACGAUACAUAGCCGACCUGAGAGGGUGAUCGGCCACACUGGGACUGAGACACGGCCCAGACUCCUACGGGAGGCAGCAGUAGGGAAUCUUCGGCAAUGGACGAAAGUCUGACCGAGCAACGCCGCGUGAGUGAAGAAGGUUUUCGGAUCGUAAAGCUCUGUUGUAAGAGAAGAACGGGUGUGAGAGUGGAAAGUUCACACUGUGACGGUAUCUUACCAGAAAGGGACGGCUAACUACGUG
RNAcentral lists this ribosomal RNA (505 nucleotides) under uncultured bacterium. RNAcentral describes it as "partial 16S ribosomal RNA". It matches the Rfam family "Bacterial small subunit ribosomal RNA", at positions 28 to 507 of the family's 1533-position model. The record is from RNAcentral.